AAUUCUCAACCUUCCAGCUUUUAUUAGCUUGGUUAGGCUUGGAUGUGGGGGUUGCAGGCUUCACUCAUGAGGUCAGCUCUCCUUAAAUGCAUUAGCGGAACUUUUGUGGACCGUCUUAUUGGUGUGAUAAUUAUCUAUGCCAUGGAUGUGAAGCAGCUUUAUGGAGUUCAGCUUCUAACAGUCCAUUGACUUGGACAAUUCUGACA
This 206-nucleotide unclassified non-coding RNA is filed under the name uncultured Laccaria. RNAcentral's name for it is "sequence contains ITS2". The record is from RNAcentral. Lineage: Eukaryota; Fungi; Basidiomycota; Agaricomycetes; Agaricales; Tricholomataceae.